AAUAAAAUAAAACGAAAAAAUAACUGUUUGGUAAAUAUAUUAUUGAUGGAUUCACCCUUAAGCUAACCUAAAAUAGACCAGGCACAACAAUUUUACAGUUCAGAAGAUUCUACAUUUCAACUUGGUAUACAUAACUAUUUGCAAUGUAAACCAAGUUCUACCGCGUAAUUAUGUAAUGAUUAUUCACUGCUUUUGUAAGUAUGUCCUGUGCCUACAAUUUUGCUGCCCCAGUUUUAAUAUGUACAACUCCAGAGAACUAAACGUAAGUUUUAAGUUCCACUAGUUAGCAAAUGGGCUAGCCAAUAUCAAUAUCCACGUAUGCGCUAAGUGUGAAGCAGCGCAGCAGUGCAUAUUGAUUCAACAAUUUAACCACAAGGCAGUUUAUAAUCUGCAAAUCCAGAAAUGCCUUCUAAAGACUUCUUUUAAAAUAGUAAGAGAUUAGAAAAGUUAUUAACACAUUAUUAGUCCCAGGGACUAAUAAUGUGUUAUACGAAAUAUGAGCGUAUUAGCAUAAUUCAUGCAAACACUUUGGGGCCAAGCCGACAUGGAUAAAACGACGCAUGCAUGUAAUUCUUAAAUGCCUGCUAGAGUUGUACAUUUAUGACGAUAAAAACCCAUAUUACAACGGAGAACUAUAGUUAAAGAAAAAAUAAAACUUACCACAAAGCGCUCCUGAAGAUGCCGCGAAGGCGGUAAAUGCAGCUAGCCAAGUGCAGAGCGUUAGCUGUUCCAGUUCAAAAGUCCGUAACAUACCAUAGCAUGCCCUCCUUUAUCCAGCGUCAAAGGCAAUGCCGCAAAAAACCCGUUGACAAAUGUUUUUAUUUCUGUUCGGAUAUUAACGUUCCACAAGUUUCUUUCGGGGUAAUGAGCGGGCAUUCGCACUCGAAGCGAGGAAUCCAAGAUGGUUGCCAGCACUUCAUAAAGAAACAGGUGGCGCACGUAGGUACGUACGUAGGCACGUAAGUGACGUCAGUGUUAAAACUCAAAUUAUUUGAGCGCAAUGCUAGAAACUAAUCAAUAUAUUCAAGUACUGAUAACUUGAAAAAACAAAAUUGUUCAAACUACUCAAAAAAAUAAAGGUGUAUGAACUUAUAACAGGUUUUUAAGUAGUUGGAACUCAUUUCAUUUAUCAAAGUAUUACUAUUCGGUCUUACAGUGUAGACGGUAAU
Astatotilapia calliptera (eastern happy) is the source of this 1169-nucleotide long non-coding RNA. NCBI's taxonomy places the organism in Eukaryota, Metazoa, Chordata, Actinopteri, Cichliformes, Cichlidae. The record is from Ensembl.